AUGUGGUCACCAAGCUGGGUGCCCGGGAAGGCAUGGCUUGUCCUCAGAGCUGCCAUGGGAGAAGCCUUUCCUGAGGAGCUAAGACAGCAGUCCCCACAGCUCGGAGACUGGACAGUGAUUUUGACAAGGCAGGCGGCCUGGCUGCUUCUCCUGAUAAGACAGCACCCUGCUGUUCUCGCUGAAGCGAGGGUUCAUGGCUCUCAGGGGGCCUGGGCCCGGGGCAGGGGCACCUCGGGCCGUUGUGCCUUGGUGACCAGAGGCUCCAGCAUGCCCGGGUGUGUGCUGACCCUGCUCCUGCCAGACCCCUGCCUGCCCCGGGCAGACCCCGGCCAUGUCCUGGCGGGCAGGGGCUGCAGGGCGGGCUCCUCCUCACGGGGGCCUCUGCGCUGCUUUGGGGCAGAAGGGAGGGGAUCACAGGGACAUUGUCCUGUGGGCCCGAGGCCCAGGACUCCCUGCGCCCGCAGGUCCAUCCUGACCCCAUCACAGCGGGGCCCUAAAAGCUGGACAGGUGAGUGGCUUCCCAAGGUUGCACAGCAAGGGCCUGGCGUGCCGAGAGGCUCCGCCGCCUCAGGCAGCAAACACGCACCUCGGCAGAGCGUGAGUGAUGGAACCUCCCGCAGAGCCAGAAACAUGCGCUUCUGGCAGCGGGGGAGGCAUAGCGGGCCGCAGAGACUCACUCAAGGCCCCCAUCCUGGUCUCGGCAGACAGCGGGGGCCCCUGGCCUUGGCAGGCCUUGCUCCGCCAUCAGCCCCCUCCCGGCCCUGCCUGACGCCCAGAGGUUGCUCCGCCCCACGCGGGUGUUUCCUGCCCAUCUCUACUCCACGCGGCUGCAGCCCAGGACCCCCAGUUAUAUGUAGUCAACAGAAAACUGGAAAUAGCACAAAGCUGGACUGUUCCUUUUUACAGGAAACAAACAAGACAGGGAAGAAGCCAGACUUAGAAACCUAGGAGGGUGUCUGCUGGGAAAAGUCAACAGAAGCCCAUGGAUUCCAGGCCCACAAACAAGACACAGCACAGAUGGGAACCAGGAAGUGAGCAUGUGCCCAAGUCACACCUGCCCCGGCAGGUAUAUAGAGGCUCCCGGCCCCAGAGGCCCCACACUGAGCCGCUUCUCUCUCUCCACCUGCUCCUCUGACCUA
Molecule: long non-coding RNA, 1139 nt
Filed under: Capra hircus (goat)
Lineage: Eukaryota; Metazoa; Chordata; Mammalia; Artiodactyla; Bovidae
Description: lncRNA (ENSCHIG00010012774.1)
Source: RNAcentral